AUACGAAGGGGGCUAGCGUUGCUCGGAAUCACUGGGCGUAAAGCGCACGUAGGCGGAUCGUUAAGUCAGGGGUGAAAUCCUGGAGCCCAACUCCAGAACUGCCCUUGAUACUGGCGAUCUCGAGUUCGAGAGAGGUUGGUGGAACUCCGAGCGUAGAGGUGAAAUUCGUAGAUAUUCGGAAGAACACCAGUGGCGAAGGCGGCCAACUGGCUCGAUACUGACGCUGAGGUGCGAAAGCGUGGGGAGC
This 247-nucleotide ribosomal RNA is filed under the name uncultured bacterium. RNAcentral's name for it is "partial 16S ribosomal RNA". It matches the Rfam family "Bacterial small subunit ribosomal RNA", at positions 523 to 769 of the family's 1533-position model. The record is from RNAcentral.